UUUCGGUUUUAUAAAUGUAUUGCCACCGGGACAACUGCUAAACUGCUUGCUGUACUGUGUGAUUGCAUACAUGGAUUGGAUUGUGGGUUUACUAACGUGUUAGUUCUAGUUUGUUGACAACGUUAAUAUGUUGAUAAUGAUGUAGGCUGUGUAGCGGUUAUGGUAUGAAGGUUAGGCUUGGAGAGUUUUUUGAGCAUGGUCACAAACCGCUCGUGUUGUGCACUGAAGUCCACAAGCGAAGGGAAAAGCUAAAAGGCGGAGAGUGCGUAGAUGCAAGAAGGAAUUUAUACAACAAGCAAAGUGAUUAAGCUGUAUAUGGCUGCUAUGAAAGUGAACUGUGUGUGCGGGGAUCAGGGGUAUAUUCAUUCCGCUGAUUCUAUUGCCAAACUUUUCUUAAAUGGAAGCAAACGGAAUGAAAUUAUUGCAGUCCAGAUAAGCUAGAUGCAGGUAAGAGUGUGCAAGGUGGUAUUGAAUGUAUCACUGUCUGUCACCUUUAUUCCUCCAAUUUGUCUCUUGACCUGUACACCUACGUUAUAAACUUUAAUUUGUAGGAUAGGUUGUAGCAACCUCGUGAUGAUGGUACAUUGAACUGGGUGAAUGGAAUAUGAAUGACAGUCAUCCAAUAUUUGCUGUAGGCCUAAUAGAAAUAAGGCCAUGCUCAUAAAUGUUUCUCACCUGCCUCCACUGGUCAAAACCACUGUUAGUUUGUAACAUGCCAUCUCUAUUCUCCAACCAACCAUAUUGACUAAUUCCUUGAUCCCUGACAAAAGAAAUUGGGCUCUAUUCUUUAAAAUUUUUUAAAUGUAAUAUUAAACUUUUCCCCCAUUUUACUAGAGGAAGCCAGCCUGAGGGAAAGUCAGUCUUGCUGUAUUAGCUAGCUAGCAUGUUCCAACCUUCUCAACAUGUUCAUGUGCCAAGUCGCAUGUCCCUGACUAACCUAGUCACGAAAUGUGGCGAUGUCUUCACAUUAUGUAGACAAGGCUCUGCACAUUUACAUAUAAACAUUCUAAAUGUCCCUUGUUUGUCACGAAUAUUGAAUACAAUACUAUUUAAACUUACUCUGCCGAUUGUCCGUGGUGCUGGUCCCUCAGUUGGUCAAUUUUUGACAAACUAUCCACAGGAAAGUAACAUUAUUAUUAAACCGACUUCAAAACACAGGUCUAUGUGUGUGGCAAUCAAGAUAAGUGAUGUUCAAUUUGUGAACAAUUAAUUAUUUUACAACUCUUUUUACUGACUUGAUUCAUUUUUCUGAGUGACUUCACAAUUGCUGGCCGCAAUUGUUUUUCUUUUGUUCAUCACCGAAGGUACGUGUACAAGACAGACACACGUGAACCAUGUAUACUGCAGGUGUUUAUAUGGUUUUACAUGUGUGCCAGAUGAUAGAAAUGUUAACUUCAGUACCGAUGCUUUAAAAGGUUGGUUAAACAAUACUUUCCUGUGGAUAUUGUAUCUCAAAUUUCAAGCAACUGAAGGACCAACAGUGCAGAGUAAGUUAAAAUAAUUGUAUUCAACAUUCUGGCUUGUAGAAAAUCUGAGAGGAACAAACACUAUCAUGUUCCAGAUGGUGUAUUUAGAUAUUCACCACCUGGACCCCAGGAAACGAAUAACCUAGCUAUUACUCCUCGUGACAUGAAUUAAUGUUUGGUCCAACCAGCUGACUUUGGAGUCAAACUCAAACUAACAACUUAUUUUAAACCAAAUAUACUCUAUUUGACUGGGUAUGUCUUUUUGUCUUCAGGAGAUUAAGGCAGUGGGGACAGAACUGGGCAUUACUCCUGUCAUAAUUCGUGGAGAGAAACUGAAACAGAAAGGAUUUGGAGAGAUCUAUGGAGUGGGCAAGGCAGUGGUGAACCCUCCUGCCCUCGCAGUCCUGAGUCACAAACCAGAUGGUGCCACCCAGACUAUUGCAUGGGUGGGCAAGGGUAUCGUGUAUGACACUGGAGGUCUCCGCAUCAAGGGAAAGGUAUAAAGACCAACAUGCCUGGGAUGAAAGAGACUGUUGUGAGGCAGCAGCCAUUUUAGGAGCUUUCAAAGCUACUGUCAAUCAGGGCUUCAAGGACAAUCUCCAUGCCGUAUUCUGCCUGGUGGAGAAUGCAGUGGGACCCACUGUCACACGGCCAGAUGACAUCCACACGCUCUACUCUGGAAAGAGUAGCCAUUGGGGGAGCAUGGAAACCAGUUAGGCAAGAGGACAGUGGAGAUCAACAACACUGAUGCUGAAGGCAGGCUAGUGCUCUUUGAUGGUGUGGUGUAUGCCAGCAAGGACCUCUUUGCUGACAUCAUCCUGGAUAUGGCCACUCUGACAGGGGCACAGGUGUGUGACGGGUGGCCUCUAGAGCCACAACAGUGCAGCUUUGGCAACAACACUCGCCUACAUUACUUUGAUGCCCCACACUUCUUUAAUCACUUAUUGUCAUUUUGCAGCAAGAGGGAUAUCAUUUUGCAAUUAUAUAAUAGAUUUAGGCCUCUAAUAUUUGAUGUAUUUGUAUUUCUAUAAGACUUAGUCCAAAAAAUGUUCGGAAGUGAUGGUUUGGUAAUAAAUGUUAGCCCAAGAAAGUCAAGUCAUCACAUGUACAUUGUUGAAACACUCAUAAAAGCCAGUUGGGACUGUUUUACAUUCACUGCACUUCAAUCAUAGCAAAGGUUAACAGGGCUUGUGACAGACAUAAUAAAGUAAUGAAAACGUUUUACUUUCCAUUGAUCUUUGCACUCACUGACAUUUAUCUUUAGCCCAAGACAAACUCCCCAAAUUCUCUGAGGAACUCAAAACAACUUAUCAAGGGUGUCUCACACAAGUGGAUGGUGUUAAUCACACAAAAUUGUUAGGCCUACAAAAAGAGAUUUUCCUUAGAACAGUAAUUUUCUAACUCAAAACACACCUCGUGCUGGUGAUGACGACACCACAUCCUGUGGUAACCCUCAUGAUGU
Molecule: RNA transcript, 2928 nt
Organism: Oncorhynchus masou masou (cherry salmon)
Lineage: Eukaryota; Metazoa; Chordata; Actinopteri; Salmoniformes; Salmonidae
Gene name: probable aminopeptidase NPEPL1
Exons: 5
Source: RefSeq, a predicted model, not a curated record